This 615-nucleotide long non-coding RNA is filed under the name Struthio camelus australis. Its description in RNAcentral is "lncRNA (ENSSCUG00000011349.1)". The record is from RNAcentral. Lineage: Eukaryota; Metazoa; Chordata; Aves; Struthioniformes; Struthionidae.
CUGUCCUGAUACCAGCUUGAAAAAGAAAGGAGACUGAAAAAAGGAGCAGCAAGGAGCCCAGGGACAUGUCUCUGCUCUAUGAAACUCUCUGCAGAUAUGUUACAAACAGUCAUGCUCUGUCUACUUUCUGUUUGUUUGGGUUGAUUUUCUCUCUCUUCUCCCUCACUCUGAGGCAGGCAUAGUGACCUCAUUGGGACUCUUCAGGAGAAUAAGAAGAAUAAUAUUUCGUUCUGGGAAGAGGUAAAAGUCUCUGUGAGGAGAGGAUGGGACAAGUGGACCUCUGCAUUGCGGCUGGUGGGUCCUUCUGGUGACGGCCAAUUUUGUGCUGCAGGACAAAGCGAACAUACACACGUGGGCAGGUGCAGUGACAUCGUCGGUCUCGGGCAAUCCCUGGGGACACAUUCCAGGAAGCUGGACCUGCCACCCUUUCCUUCCAGUAGUGCUGGUCCCUCUCCCAGGCCUGCAAACCUGCAAAUGGGUUCAGAUAAUCUCUCACAGCUGUGGAGCUCAUGCAACCCAAAUCAUUUUUCUUUUUCUUUUCCUCUCUACGUGAGCUUGCUCCCUGCCUCCCCAAAUCACUGCAGCCACCCAGCUGAGGGGAUAUUGCUCUUUCAC